Molecule: long non-coding RNA, 1364 nt
Organism: Triticum aestivum (bread wheat)
Lineage: Eukaryota; Viridiplantae; Streptophyta; Magnoliopsida; Poales; Poaceae
Exons: 2
Source: RefSeq, a predicted model, not a curated record
GGACACGCGCGCAGCGUCUGUGGCCACGGAUGGCCACGUGCCGGCCAUCCGCCGCUCCCCCUGGUGAUAUAUAAGUCUCCCCUCAACGCCCCAGCAAACCUAACCCUCUCCCUGCUCAUCCCUCGCGCCGUUUUCUUCUCUGCGGCACGCAUCCGAACGGCGCUCGCCAUGGCCGUCAUCAUAGUCUCAGCGACCGGCCUUCUCGUCGCCUGAGAUCAAGUUCAGGGGCUUCCACACCGUCGACUCCUUCACCCACGUGCUUUGAAACGAGCCGGGAGCCCGGGACAGCUCGUACUCUCGCCAUCGAGCUCAUCUCCGUCGCGUACAUCACCGACAUUCGUCGUCGUUGCCGCAGUUCCGGUCCACCUCCGGCCUCCCCGACCGUGCCAUAGAGCUCGUGAGCAGGCAAUUGUCGUUCGAGCGGCGACAAGGAGGAUCGGGCAGUUGUCGUUCGGCGGAGCGGCGAUAAGGAGGAUCGGGCACUUGUCGUUCGGCGGAGCGGCGACAAGAAGGCGGCGAGGAUGCUAUCGCAACCGAGGCGACGGGUGAUUGUGGUUCGACAAAACGACCUGGAGGAGGUUGACGGGAGCGGUAGUGCUGAGGUGCGGUGCUAGAAGAUCUCGUCAAGAUCGUCGUUCGGGGGGGGGGGGGGGGGGGGCGAGGAAGAGGCGGCAAAGUUACGAGCUAUCGUCAAGGUGUGCACAUGAGUUCUUGUAAGGUGCGUCCAAGAGCUCAGAUGUGUGAAUCUUCUGCUGCAGUUGAGAUGCGUCACUGGCGGGGAGAAUUGCAAGCGACAACGGGUGGAAAAAGGAAUGCAUGCCUUGUGUUUCCGUUCGUGGUUGCGGAGUUUCAGCGAGUUCAUAUACGAUGAAGAUGAGUUGCACGUAUAUGGCAAGUUGUGUUGCCGCUGGAUAUGAGGUGUCGUUUGAUAAGAUGUGGCAUCGGUGACACUGAGAAGAAAAAAGAUGUGGCGGGUGAAAAAUGUGUCUCCCCAUGCACAAGCAACCGAUGAGAAGACGAAGAUCAACGUGAAGAUGGACGCGCACCGGUUAAGUUGAGUUCCUGCAUGAGGCUAUGCAUUUAGUCUGCAUGUAGCACGCUAAGAUGCGGCAGCGUGGCUGGUAGUCCGGGUAAUCGUUGGUUAAAGUUUAUAAGUUGAUAUGCAAACAAAGUUGCGGUGAUGAUGAGGUGAUGGCCAUCGUCACAAGAAGAAAGAAGUUGUGGUCUGGUAAAUUGUGUCACCGGAGACAAUCGACGUGAUAAGAUGAACAGGCGGUCGUCUGUGUAUCUCGUUGUGUAAAAAGUCGAAUGUUUAAAUUAGGGGGUGAAUGUUAGAGUAAUCCAAACAUGUUAUAGUAGAGAUA